CAGUAGCCGCGGGAAUACAGAGGGUGCGAGCGUUAAUCGGAUUUACUGGGCGUAAAGCGUGCGUAGGCGGCUAAUUGAGUCGGAUGUGAAAUCCCCGAGCUUAACUUGGGAAUUGCAUUCGAUACUGGUUAGCUAGAGUGUGGGAGAGGAUGGUAGAAUUCCAGGUGUAGCGGUGAAAUGCGUAGAGAUCUGGAGGAAUACCGAUGGCGAAGGCAGCCAUCUGGCCUAACACUGACGCUGAGGUACGAAAGCGUGGGGAUCAAACAGGAUUAGAUACCCCUGUAGUCCCUGUCUCUUAUAC
RNAcentral lists this ribosomal RNA (301 nucleotides) under uncultured bacterium. RNAcentral describes it as "partial 16S ribosomal RNA". It matches the Rfam family "Bacterial small subunit ribosomal RNA", at positions 509 to 807 of the family's 1533-position model. The record is from RNAcentral.